UCUAAGCACAUGCCUUAAUACGGUGAAGCCGCGAAUAGCUCAUUACAACAGCCACCGUUUACUAGAAUAUCGUUAUCCUACUUGGAUAACUGUGGCAAUUCUAGAGCUAAUACAUGCAUAAAAGCUCUGCCCGUAAGGAAUGAGCGCAUUUAUUAGAAUAAAAACCAAUCGGGCUCUCGUAGUCCGUCACACGUUUGGUGAAUCUGAAUAACUUUGCCAAUCGCACAGUCCUAGUACUGGCGAUGUAUCUUUCAAGUGUCUGCCUUAUCAACUUUCGAUGGUAGGUUAUACGCCUACCAUGGUAGUAACGGGUAACGGAGAAUAAGGGUUCGACUCCGGAGAGGGAGCCUGAGAAACGGCUACCACAUCCAAGGAAGGCAGCAGGCGCGCAAAUUACCCACUUCCAGAACGGAGAGGUAGUGACGAAAAAUAACGAGACAGUCCUCUUCGAGGUCUGUCAUCGGAAUGGGUACAAUUUAAAUCCUUUAACGAGGAUCUAUUGGAGGGCAAGUCUGGUGCCAG
This 522-nucleotide ribosomal RNA is filed under the name Nematoda environmental sample. RNAcentral describes it as "SSU rRNA". It matches the Rfam family "Eukaryotic small subunit ribosomal RNA", at positions 58 to 570 of the family's 1831-position model. Lineage: Eukaryota; Metazoa; Nematoda. The record is from RNAcentral.